AAGUCGUAACAAGGUUUCCGUAGGUGAACCUGCGGAAGGAUCAUUAUUGAGCUACCGGGGUCUUGAAAGAGACUCCGCUCUGGCCCACCCGUGCCGAAUGAACCUGUUGCCUUGGUCGGCCCGCCCUGUAGGGCCAUCGAGAGACUUUUUAAUGGUCUCUGGAUCCGUGCCGGCCGAGGAUGCGGGCACUUCUUUGCUUUUGCUAGGAGGUGACCAGCACUAAAACUCAUUAUAAAACGGCGAUGGAGUCUGAAGCUUUGAUAAAUUAAAUCAAAACUUUCAACAAUGGAUCUCUUGGUUCC
RNAcentral lists this unclassified non-coding RNA (302 nucleotides) under fungal sp. RNAcentral's name for it is "partial internal transcribed spacer region". The stretch from base 1 to 46 matches the Rfam family "Eukaryotic small subunit ribosomal RNA", at positions 1786 to 1831 of the family's 1831-position model. Lineage: Eukaryota; Fungi. The record is from RNAcentral.